This 3106-nucleotide ribosomal RNA is filed under the name Actinoplanes ianthinogenes. Its description in RNAcentral is "23S ribosomal RNA". It matches the Rfam family "Bacterial large subunit ribosomal RNA". Lineage: Bacteria; Bacillati; Actinomycetota; Actinomycetes; Micromonosporales; Micromonosporaceae. The record is from RNAcentral.
UUAAGUUGUCAAGGGCGAACGGUGGAUGCCUUGGCACCAGGAGCCGAUGAAGGACGUGGGAGGCCGCGAUAGGCCUGGGGGAGCUGUCAACCUAGCUGUGAUCCCAGGGUGUCCGAAUGGGGAAACCUGGCACGAGUCAUGUCGUGUCAUCCGCACCUGAAUUCAUAGGGUGUGUGAGGGGAACGCGGGGAAGUGAAACAUCUCAGUACCCGUAGGAAGAGAAAACAACCGUGAUUCCGUGAGUAGUGGCGAGCGAAAGCGGAUCUAGCCUAAACCUUUUGCGUGUGAUACCUGUCAGGGGUUGCGCAUUGGGGGUCGUGGGACCUGCUUGAAGGAUCUGACAGUUCUUCGAAGAGUUACAAAGUUUGGUGUUAGUCGAAUGGUGUGGGAAAGCCAGCCGUAGACGGUGAGAGCCCGGUAGACGAAAAUUCCAAGCCUCUUUGCAGUGUUCCCGAGUAGCAGCGGACUCCUAGAAUCUGCUGUGAAUUUGCCAGGACCACCUGGUAAGGCUGAAUACUUCCUGGUGACCGAUAGCGGACUAGUACCGUGAGGGAAUGGUGAAAAGUACCCCGGGAGGGGAGUGAAAUAGUACCUGAAACCGUUCGCCUACAAUCCGUCGGAGCCUUUAGGGGUGACGGCGUGCCUUUUGAAGAAUGAGCCUGCGAGUUAGUGGCAUGUGGCGAGGUUAACCCGUGUGGGGUAGCCGUAGCGAAAGCGAGUCUGAAUAGGGCGUUUUUAGUCGCAUGUUCUAGACCCGAAGCGGGGUGAUCUAGCCAUGGGCAGGUUGAAGCGUGGGUAAGACUGCGUGGAGGACCGAACCCACCAACGUUGAAAAGUUGGGGGAUGACCUGUGGUUAGGGGUGAAAGGCCAAUCAAACUCCGUGAUAGCUGGUUCUCCCCGAAAUGCAUUUAGGUGCAGCGUCGUGUGUUUCUUGCCGGAGGUAGAGCACUGGAUGGUCUAGGGGGCCCACAAGCUUACUGAAAUCAGCCAAACUCCGAAUGCCGGUAAGUGAGAGCGCGGCAGUGAGACUGCGGGGGAUAAGCUUCGUAGUCGAGAGGGAAACAGCCCAGAUCGCCAGCUAAGGCCCCUAAGCGUGUGCUAAGUGGAAAAGGAUGUGGGAUCGCAUGGACAACCAGGAGGUUGGCUUAGAAGCAGCCACCCUUUAAAGAGUGCGUAAUAGCUCACUGGUCAAGUGGUUCCGCGCCGACAAUGUAGCGGGGCUCAAGCACACCGCCGAAGCUGUGGCAUUCACACUUUGUGUGUGGAUGGGUAGGGGAGCGUCGUGCAGCGGGUGAAGCGGCGGAGUGAUCCAGUCGUGGACGCUGUACGAGUGAGAAUGCAGGCAUGAGUAGCGAAUGAAGGGUGAGAACCCCUUCCGCCGGAUGACCAAGGGUUCCAGGGCCAGGCUAAUCCGCCCUGGGUGAGUCGGGGCCUAAGGCGAGGCCGAGAGGCGUAGUCGAUGGAUAACGGGUUGAUAUUCCCGUACCCGCAAAGAAACGCCCAAGACGAACCUANNNNNNNNNNNNNNNNNNNNNNNNNNNNNNNNNNNNNNNNNNNNNNNNNNNNNNNNNNNNNNNNNNNNNNNNNNNNNNNNNNNNNNNNNNNNNNCUGGGGUAGUAGUUUAGUGAUGGGGUGACGCAGGAAGGUAGAUGAUCCCGGCCGGUGGUUGUGCCGGGGUAAGCGUGUAGGCCGUGUCAUAGGCAAAUCCGUGACACAUAUAGGUUGAGACGUGAUGCCGAGCCGUUCUGGUGAAGUCAUUGAUCCUAUGCUGCCGAGAAAAGCCUCUAGCGAUGUUUCGAGCGGCCCGUACCCUAAACCGACACAGGUGGUCAGGUAGAGAAUACCGAGGCGACGGGUGAACUGUGGUUAAGGAACUCGGCAAAUUGCCCCCGUAACUUAGGGAGAAGGGGGGCCGGACGCGUGAAGCCCCUUUGCGGGUGGAGCGUGGUAUGGCCGCAGAGAGCAGGGGGAAGCGACUGUUUACUAAAAACACAGGUCCAUGCCAAGUCGUAAGACGAUGUAUAUGGACUGACGCCUGCCCGGUGCUGGAACGUUAAGGGGACCUGUUAGCUCUUCGGGGCGAAGCGGAGAACUUAAGCGCCAGUAAACGGCGGUGGUAACUAUAACCAUCCUAAGGUAGCGAAAUUCCUUGUCGGGUAAGUUCCGACCUGCACGAAUGGCGUAACGACUUCCCCACUGUCUCAACCACAGGCCCGGCGAAAUUGCAGUACGAGUAAAGAUGCUCGUUACGCGCGGCAGGACGGAAAGACCCCGGGACCUUUACUAUAGCUUGACAUUGGUAUCUGAAUUCGAUUGUGUAGGAUAGGUGGGAGACUGUGAAGCUCGGACGCCAGUUCGGGUGGAGUCGUUGUUGAAAUACCACUCUGUUGGGUUUGGGUAUCUAACUUGCGGCCCUGAUCGGGUCGAGGGACAGUGUCUGGUGGGUAGUUUAACUGGGGCGGUUGCCUCCUAAAGGGUAACGGAGGCGCCCAAAGGUUCCCUCAGCCUGGUUGGCAAUCAGGUGUUGAGUGUAAGUGCACAAGGGAGCUUGACUGUGAGACUGACGGGUCGAGCAGGGACGAAAGUCGGGACUAGUGAUCCGGCACUUGCGUGUGGAAGCGGUGUCGCUCAACGGAUAAAAGGUACCCCGGGGAUAACAGGCUGAUCUUCCCCAAGAGUCCAUAUCGACGGGAUGGUUUGGCACCUCGAUGUCGGCUCGUCGCAUCCUGGGGCUGUAGCAGGUCCCAAGGGUUGGGCUGUUCGCCCAUUAAAGCGGUACGCGAGCUGGGUUUAGAACGUCGUGAGACAGUUCGGUCCCUAUCCGCCGUGCGCGUUGGAUACUUGAGAAGGGCUGUCCCUAGUACGAGAGGACCGGGACGGACGAACCUCUGGUGUGCCAGUUGUUCUGCCAAGGGCACGGCUGGUUGGCUACGUUCGGAAGGGAUAACCGCUGAAAGCAUCUAAGCGGGAAGCUCGCUUCGAGAUGAGGUAUCCCACCACCUUUGAGUGGGUAAGGCCCCCAAGAGACUAUUGGGUUGAUAGGCCGGAGAUGUAAGCACGGUAACGUGUUGAGUUGACCGGUACUAAUAGGCCGAGGGCUUAACC